RNAcentral lists this ribosomal RNA (253 nucleotides) under uncultured bacterium. Its description in RNAcentral is "partial 16S ribosomal RNA". It matches the Rfam family "Bacterial small subunit ribosomal RNA", at positions 524 to 776 of the family's 1533-position model. The record is from RNAcentral.
UACGGAGGGUGCAAGCGUUAUUCGGAAUUAUUGGGCGUAAAGGGCGUGUAGGCGGCCAGAUAAGUCAGAGGUGAAAGCCCGGGGCUCAACCCCGGAAGUGCCUUUGAAACUAUCUGGCUUGAGUGCGGGAGAGGAAAGCGGAAUUCCCAGUGUAGAGGUGAAAUUCGUAGAUAUUGGGAGGAACACCGGUGGCGAAGGCGGCUUUCUGGACCGACACUGACGCUGAGGAGCGAAAGCGUGGGGGGCAAACAGG